GAUGAACGCUGGCGGCGUGCCUAAUACAUGCAAGUCGAGCGAACAGACGAGGAGCUUGCUCCUCUGACGUUAGCGGCGGACGGGUGAGUAACACGUGGAUAACCUACCUAUAAGACUGGGAUAACUUCGGGAAACCGGAGCUAAUACCGGAUAAUAUAUUGAACCGCAUGGUUCAAUAGUGAAAGACGGUUUUGCUGUCACUUAUAGAUGGAUCCGCGCCGCAUUAGCUAGUUGGUAAGGUAACGGCUUACCAAGGCAACGAUGCGUGGCCGACCUGAGAGGGUGAUCGGCCACACUGGAACUGAGACACGGUCCAGACUCCUACGGGAGGCAGCAGUAGGGAAUCUUCCGCAAUGGGCGAAAGCCUGACGGAGCAACGCCGCGUGAGUGAUGAAGGUCUUCGGAUCGUAAAACUCUGUUAUUAGGGAAGAACAAAUGUGUAAGUAACGAUGCACGUCUUGACGGUACCUAAUCAGAAAGCCACGGCUAACUACGU
Molecule: ribosomal RNA, 496 nt
Filed under: uncultured bacterium
Lineage: Bacteria
Description: partial 16S ribosomal RNA
Rfam family: Bacterial small subunit ribosomal RNA
Source: RNAcentral